UCUCCUGGAAACGGGUGGUAAUGCCGGAUGCUCCAGUUGAUCGCAUGGUCUUCUGGGAAAGCUUUCGCGGUAUGGGAUGGGGUCGCGUCCUAUCAGCUUGACGGCGGGGUAACGGCCCACCGUGGCUUCGACGGGUAGCCGGCCUGAGAGGGCGACCGGCCACAUUGGGACUGAGAUACGGCCCAGACUCCUACGGGAGGCAGCAGUGGGGAAUAUUGCACAAUGGGCGCAAGCCUGAUGCAGCGACGCCGCGUGAGGGAUGGAGGCCUUCGGGUUGUAAACCUCUUUUAUCGGGGAGCAAGCGUGAGUGAGUUUACCCGUUGAAUAAGCACCGGCUAACUACGUGCCAGCAGCCGCGGUAAUACGUAGGGUGCAAGCGUUAUCCGGAAUUAUUGGGCGUAAAGGGCUCGUAGGCGGUUCGUCGCGUCCGGUGUGAAAGUCCAUCGCUUAACGGUGGAUCCGCGCCGGGUACGGGCGGGCUUGAGUGCGGUAGGGGAGACUGGAAUUCCCGGUGUAACGGUGGAAUGUGUAGAUAUCGGGAAAGAACACC
Molecule: ribosomal RNA, 550 nt
Filed under: Bifidobacterium longum subsp. infantis
Lineage: Bacteria; Bacillati; Actinomycetota; Actinomycetes; Bifidobacteriales; Bifidobacteriaceae
Description: bacterial SSU rRNA
Rfam family: Bacterial small subunit ribosomal RNA
Source: RNAcentral